UACGUAGGGUGCGAGCGUUAAUCGGAAUUACUGGGCGUAAAGCGUGCGCAGGCGGUGAUGUAAGACCGAUGUGAAAUCCCCGGGCUUAACCUGGGAACUGCAUUGGUGACUGCAUUGCUGGAGUAUGGCAGAGGGGGGUGGAAUUCCACGUGUAGCAGUGAAAUGCGUAGAGAUGUGGAGGAACACCUAUGGCGAAGGCAGCUCGCUGGGACGGUACUGACGCUGAGGCGCGAAAGCGUGGGGAGCAAACAGG
This 253-nucleotide ribosomal RNA is filed under the name uncultured bacterium. RNAcentral describes it as "partial 16S ribosomal RNA". It matches the Rfam family "Bacterial small subunit ribosomal RNA", at positions 524 to 776 of the family's 1533-position model. The record is from RNAcentral.